Molecule: non-coding RNA, 676 nt
Organism: Phoenix dactylifera (date palm)
Lineage: Eukaryota; Viridiplantae; Streptophyta; Magnoliopsida; Arecales; Arecaceae
Source: RefSeq, a predicted model, not a curated record
GUCAAGGAUCAUAUCCAUAAGUUUCUUCCAUCAUAAAAGGUGGUUUUCAGGUUAUCAAAAUGUGAAGGCAGAGAGUUAAGAGCUUGGCGAACAAGGAAGGUUUCAGCAAUGGAUACCUUGAGGCUCUUAUCGAUUUCUUUGAGUUUAUUCUUGCGAACGUACCUAUUAGGCUGGAUACUUGAGGUGCAUCUAGCAUGCAGUCUUUUCUUGGAGCAAUUUUUUGGCUGGUUUUGUAAUCUUUUUGCAUGAAUUGCUCUGUCACACUGGCGUUAUUCUUUUUGAUCAAGGUGGGUCUUGUAUAGCUGAUGUAUCAAGCAUUCCCUGGCUGGUUCUGUAGAUCAGGCCAGCUCAAAUGAAAGGAGAUGUAUGAAGAGGACAGGACAUGUGGUUGUGGAGGCCGCAUCAGGUGGGACCCUGGUUAGAACAAGGUUGGUCCAUUGGCUUUGGAGCAAAAGAUUUUUGGCUUGGCAGGACCCACACUGUACAAGCUAACGAAUAUCUGACGCAUCAGCUGCUGAAGGUGUUGCGUAUGGUGUUUUAAAAGUUUUAAAUCAAUCAUGUAAUUGAUUUGUUGACGUUUCUGUUUUCUCUCAAUGGAUUUAUUUAUUUAUUUAUUUUUUGAAGGCUCUGUACUGUACUUGUACCGUUAUUGAAAUUCAGAUUUUCUUUCCUUUAA